RNAcentral lists this ribosomal RNA (497 nucleotides) under uncultured bacterium. Its description in RNAcentral is "partial 16S ribosomal RNA". It matches the Rfam family "Bacterial small subunit ribosomal RNA", at positions 28 to 507 of the family's 1533-position model. The record is from RNAcentral.
GAUGAACGCUGGCGGCGUGCCUAAUACAUGCAAGUCGAGCGAACGGACGAGAAGCUUGCUUCUCUGAUGUUAGCGGCGGACGGGUGAGUAACACGUGGAUAACCUACCUAUAAGACUGGGAUAACUUCGGGAAACCGUAGCUAAUACCGGAUAAUAUUUUGAACCGCAUGGUUCAAAAGUGAAAGACGGUCUUGCUGUCACUUAUAGAUGGAUCCGCGCUGCAUUAGCUAGUUGGUAAGGUAACGGCUUACCAAGGCAACGAUGCAUAGCCGACCUGAGAGGGUGAUCGGCCACUAUGGAACUGAGACACGGUCCAGACUCCUACGGGAGGCAGCAGUAGGGAAUCUUCCGCAAUGGGCGAAAGCGUGACGGAGCAACGCCGCGUGAGUGAUGAAGGUCUUCGGAUCGUAAAACUGUGUUAUUAGGGAAGAACAUAUGUGUAAGUAACUGUGCACAUCUUGACGUUACCUAAUCAGAAAGCCACGGCUAACUACGUG